CUGCUGCAGCCCUACUCGUCGUUCGACACUUGCUCCGGUGCCUUUGAACGAGCAAUCGGGCGUUGGAUGUGGAGUCUCGUGCGACGAAAAUAUUCUCGAGCCAGAUUCAAAAGAAAGGACUUUCAUUUGACACUAAUGAUGAGUUUAAAAGAAGCAUUUAUGAAUUAUGGUGAAGUUGUUGAUGUGCAUCAUUGGCAGGGAAAGUGGAAGGUCUAGAGGGUUUUGGUUUUGUGAUUUUUAUAUCUAGCGAAGAAGCUUCAGCUAUAAUCAGUGACAUGGAUGGGAAGG
Long non-coding RNA from Zingiber officinale, 288 nucleotides. RefSeq lists it as uncharacterized. The record is from RefSeq and is a predicted model, not a curated record. Lineage: Eukaryota; Viridiplantae; Streptophyta; Magnoliopsida; Zingiberales; Zingiberaceae. The transcript is spliced from 3 exons.